This 139-nucleotide non-coding RNA is filed under the name Streptomyces sp. RNAcentral's name for it is "SAM-IV sequence". It matches the Rfam family "SAM (S-adenosyl methionine) riboswitch aptamer". Rfam says of the family: SAM-IV is a mRNA element that regulates gene expression via direct sensing of S-adenosylmethionine (SAM or AdoMet). Lineage: Bacteria; Bacillati; Actinomycetota; Actinomycetes; Kitasatosporales; Streptomycetaceae. The record is from RNAcentral.
GGUCACGAUCGUCAGCGCCCGCGCGGCGAGUCCCGCGCGGUUCAUCGGCCCCGGCCCGCUGACAGGCAACCCUUCGACCGCGAUGGGGUGCCCCGGGUGACGACCUGGUCCCGCCACGGCGGCGGGACAAGCGCGGCCC